RNAcentral lists this transfer RNA (84 nucleotides) under Auriscalpium vulgare. RNAcentral's name for it is "tRNA-Asp". It matches the Rfam family "tRNA". From Rfam's summary of the family: Transfer RNA (tRNA) molecules are approximately 80 nucleotides in length. The record is from RNAcentral. Lineage: Eukaryota; Fungi; Basidiomycota; Agaricomycetes; Russulales; Auriscalpiaceae.
UCCCCGGUCGUAUAUCGGUUAGUACACGCGCCUGUCACUUCAACGGGUGCGCGCGAGAGCUGGGUUCGACUCCCAGCCGGGGAG